UGCCAGCCGCCGCGGUAACACGGGGGGCGCAAGCGUUAUUCGGAAUUAUUGGGCGUAAAGCGCGCGUAGGCGGCUUGGUCAGUCGGAUGUGAAAGCCCCGGGUUUAACCUGGGAAUUGCAUUCGAUACUGCCUGGCUAGAGUAUGGGAGAGGGAAGUGGAAUUUCCGGUGUAGCGGUGAAAUGCGUAGAUAUCGGAAGGAACACCAGUGGCGAAGGCGGCUUCCUGGCCCAAUACUGACGCUCAGGUGCGAAAGCGUGGGGAGCAAACAGGAUUAGAUA
Molecule: ribosomal RNA, 279 nt
Filed under: uncultured bacterium
Lineage: Bacteria
Description: partial 16S ribosomal RNA
Rfam family: Bacterial small subunit ribosomal RNA
Source: RNAcentral